This 497-nucleotide ribosomal RNA is filed under the name uncultured bacterium. RNAcentral's name for it is "partial 16S ribosomal RNA". It matches the Rfam family "Bacterial small subunit ribosomal RNA", at positions 28 to 507 of the family's 1533-position model. The record is from RNAcentral.
GAUGAACGCUGGCGGCGUGCCUAAUACAUGCAAGUCGAGCGAACAGACGAGGAGCUUGCUCCUCUGACGUUAGCGGCGGACGGGUGAGUAACACGUGGAUAACCUACCUAUAAGACUGGGAUAACUUCGGGAAACCGGAGCUAAUACCGGAUAAUAUAUUGAACCGCAUGGUUCAAUAGUGAAAGACGGUUUUGCUGUCACUUAUAGAUGGAUCCGCGCCGCAUUAGCUAGUUGGUAAGGUAACGGCUUACCAAGGCAACGAUGCGUAGCCGACCGGAGAGGGUGAUCGGCCACACUGGAACGGAGACACGGUCCAGACUCCUACGGGAGGCAGCAGUAGGGAAUCUUCCGCAAUGGGCGAAAGCCUGACGGAGCAACGCCGCGUGAGUGAUGAAGGUCUUCGGAGCGUAAAACUCUGUUAUGAGGGAAGAACAAAUGUGUAAGUAACUAUGCACGUCUUGACGGUACCUAAUCAGAAAGCCACGGCUAACUACGUG